UGCUAGUCGCACGGGUUAGACCCGUGGCGGAAAGCUCAGUAACACGUGGCCAAACUACCCUGUGGACGGGGAUAAUCUCGGGAAACUGGGGCUAAUCCUCGAUAGGGCUUCCAUCCUGGAGUGGAGGAAGCUCGAAAGUUGCGCUGCGGCACCACAGGAUGUGGCUGCGGCCGAUUAGGUAGACGGUGGGGUAACGGCCCACCGUGCCAGUAAUCGGUACGGGUGAUGAGAGUCAGAGCCCGGAGACGGUAUCUGAGACAAGAUACCGGGCCCUACGGGGCGCAGCAGGCGCGAAACCUUUACACUGCACGACAGUGCGAUAGGGGGAUUCCGAGUGCGAGGGCAUACAGUCCUCGCUUUUCUAGACCGUAAGGAGGUCCAGGAACAAGGGCUGGGCAAGACCGGUGCCAGCCGCCGCGGUAAUACCGGCAGCCCAAGUGAUGGCCGAUAUUAUUGGGCCUAAAGCGUCCGUAGCCGGCCGGACAAGUCCGUUGGGAAAUCCACGCGCUUAACGCGUGGGCGUCCAGCGGAAACUGUCCGGCUUGGGGCCGGAGGACUCGAGGGGUACGUCCGGGGUAGGAGUGAAAUCCCGUAAUCCUGGACGGGCCACCGGUGGCGAAAGCGCCUCGAGAGGACGGACCCGACGGUGAGGGACGAAAGCCAGGGUCUCGAACCGGAUUAGAUACCCGGGUAGUCCUGGCCGUAAACGAUGUCCGCUAGG
RNAcentral lists this ribosomal RNA (721 nucleotides) under uncultured archaeon. RNAcentral describes it as "bacterial SSU rRNA". It matches the Rfam family "Archaeal small subunit ribosomal RNA", at positions 52 to 771 of the family's 1478-position model. The record is from RNAcentral.